AUACUUAGCUGGCAGGAGAGAGACCGAGACCGCCGAGCACGGAGGUGGUUUUCCCGGGGCGAGGCUUAGCCAUUGCUCUCCGGAUGUGCUGACCCCCUGCGAUUUCCCCAAAUGUGGGGGAACUUGACCGCACAAUUUGUGUUGUAGGGGACUGUGUUCGCGUUCUCCCCUG
This 172-nucleotide small nuclear RNA is filed under the name Erinaceus europaeus (western European hedgehog). RNAcentral's name for it is "U1 spliceosomal RNA (ENSEEUG00000018820.1)". It matches the Rfam family "U1 spliceosomal RNA". Rfam says of the family: U1 is a small nuclear RNA (snRNA) component of the spliceosome (involved in pre-mRNA splicing). Lineage: Eukaryota; Metazoa; Chordata; Mammalia; Eulipotyphla; Erinaceidae. The record is from RNAcentral.